CACGGCAGCAAGGUGGUUGAAUGAGCAAACAGAGGAAUAGUUAGGAAUGUUGGAGACCAGAAGCCUGAGCAACUGAGAGAGCUAGUACGCUCAUUCAGGAAGGAGGCAGGUGGAGCCUGAAGCCUGCUCCUCUGAGGGCCCCAGGGUGGCCCCUGGCUGGUCCCAAAUGCUCCACACAAUAAAAGUAGAGUGAGAAGCAGGAACCAGCUGCCUUCCUUCAAGAGAGCCCCUCCUGCCCCGCCCUACCUGAGUGUGACCUUCAGGCCAGACCUGACCUUCAUUUCUGGAUGUCUUCCCCUGACCGCCGAAGCCCAGAGACCUGUACAAGAGCCCUAGUGUGUUGCCCAUGUGCCAGACUCUGGAGCUGGAUGUCCUUGAAGGGUGGUGAUGCUGGAGAUUAGUCCCCUGCCACCCCACUGCCCGAGAGCAGACCAACUAAGGUCCUUCUGCCCAGAGAGCCUCCCCACACCGCUCCAUCUGCCUGGUGAGUCACCCACGCUUCACCACCCUCGCCAAGAGAUCCAAGCUGAGCACCUUGUAUGUCUCCCUAUCAUCGCACUUAAUGGAUAUGUUCGGCCUCCCAGUGGACCAGCGUGUCCCUGGGCCCCAGGACUCUUUCUUACUUAUCUCCACGUGGAGCUCCCAGAACAGGUUUGGGCACAGUGGGUGGGAACGAGGGAAGCCUCUGGGUGUCAGCUGAGCCUGAGACACAUGGAAGAUCACGUCCAGAUGCAUGGGUGUGCACGGUAUACACGCACCUUGACCAAAAGAAGUCAUUGUGCCAUUUGCUGAUGUACAAUGGAUGGCCCUAAAACUGAGUUGCUUGAAACGGUGGCAAUGUAUCAUUUCUCUUGAUUCCAGGGGUUGACUGGGCCCUGCCAGGGAGUUCUGGCGCCAUGGCGUGCUGAAGUCACUCAUGGGCGGCACUCAGCUGGGAGCGCAGCUGGGGCUGAAGCCUCUCAUUCUUGGGUCUUCCUCUCCACGGCUGAUCAUCAUUCUGCAUUCUGCCUGAGCGACUUCAUAGCUCGGCUUCUGGCUUUCUGGAGGAGCAUGCCAAGAGGGCAGGUCUUAGUGCACGAGCGCUUCCCAGGUCUUUUUUUUUUUUUUUUUUUUUUUUUUUUCAUAUUUACUAAUGUUGCACUGGCCAAAGGGUAUGGCUCACUAAGGCCAUCAGGGGAACUGUUGGCUGUGUCUCUGUACCCUGGUCCUGAGUACAGUUUAGCUCCCUCCCUGCCUGCCAAAGUUAUUCUAAAGAACUUUGGGUGGGCAUUGAUCUACUCUGGUCCAGGUGGGGCUUGUCUCAGUCAUCAAGGCUGGCCUUGAAGGUGGGAUAGGAGGGAGACAUCCACACCUGAUCUCUCUGUGUUGGACACGACCCUCACCCCUCUGAAGGCUGGGUCUUAGGAAGGGUCCCCUCUCAUGGGACAGCUAUCACCAGAGACGGGGCAGUGGAAGAGGGAAUGGUGUUCUUUGUUUUCUACCAACAAA
Molecule: long non-coding RNA, 1488 nt
Filed under: Chinchilla lanigera (long-tailed chinchilla)
Lineage: Eukaryota; Metazoa; Chordata; Mammalia; Rodentia; Chinchillidae
Description: lncRNA (ENSCLAG00000024705.1)
Source: RNAcentral